This 29-nucleotide non-coding RNA is filed under the name Bombyx mori (domestic silkworm). Lineage: Eukaryota; Metazoa; Arthropoda; Insecta; Lepidoptera; Bombycidae. The record is from RNAcentral.
UCUCUUGUCUCGGUGUGCCUUUCGGCAAA